GGGGAAGAUGAAAGGGAAAAGCUAUAAGGGAACGCUCUGGGAUGAUUAAAAUGUUCUACGCUCUUGACUGGGCUAUUAGUUUCCCAGGUGGGCAUGUUUGUCAAAACACAUCGAAUUCUGUAUGUUUCAUCAUCGAUAAUUAUGUUCCAAUAGAGAGGAGAAAGGGUGAGAAAUGCCUAAUGUGGGAAAAAAGGAAUGUUGCUGGCUGUGGGAUUUGGAACAUUAGUGAGGGAUGUAUUUUAGGGUGAAAGGGGACACACUUUCCUGCUGUUUAUGCCAGAUGUGAGCCUAUGAUUCAGGACACUGUGAUCACUUGGAGAAAACUGAAUUCCCUUUUGCUAGAACCUCUAAGCCAAGCUGCUGACCACCCCUGAGAUCUGCACUCCUCUUGUUAUAGUCACAAGGCAGAAUUCUUAGGAAAACACCAUGGAAACAGUGCUAGCUUUCUCCACAGGACACACCAGUGACCCUGCCACUGAUCUCCUCCUUGGAGGAAGAAGCAGAAGUAUUAUUAGAAAUAAGUGGGCUGUAUUGGACUGCUAAACAACACACUGGAGAGGCAUAUGUUCUUCUCAAUUCCAGGAGCUUCUCAUGUGGAGUGAAAGGUUCUCAGUUCAGUCUUACCUGUUGGACUUCUUGGGAAUAGCAGUGAAGGCUCCGUUUACAGAAGGGUGAGAAACCUGAGCUUUGCAGAUGCACGUCUCUCUCUCGCUGUCAUCUUGCAAGAAAUGGGGAUUAGGUGUGGUCACCAUUGGCGGAACUGAAGCGCAGCAGCCCAUUGGAGAAGUGAUAAGGACGGAUAACGUCUGUGGAGACAGGUUGGCAGGGUUACAUGGAACAGUGCUUUCUUCACAGAAGCUUGCCCCUGGCUCCAUCUUGCUGGGGUCACUGGGUGGACACAGACCAAAGGCCUUCACUUUGCAUAUGAGGCACAACAGGAGUGCAGGCUCCGCUGCAAAGAACUCAGCCUGCAAGGUGUGCAGAGCCCAGUGCCGAGAUGAGUUUCCUUCAGUCCACAAUGCCCACAAUGUUUGUGGUUCUCAACUCAUGUUUCCACUUCUCUUGAGAAAACCCAGGGUUCUCCUCAUGCCUUCGCUUUGUCUCAGUAAAAUGAGGGGGGCAAUAAAGAAAAUGGAAACAGCAUUUGCCUAGUGAAUGUCAUUGUCAGUGUUAUGUGGGCCAUGGCUGAUGGGCAGGGCCCAAGUCAGCUGUGCCUGAGAGGUGGUGCUCUACUGGGAAGGGGCCAGAGCUCCCAGUCCUUGGCUCAUGUCCCUUCCUCGCAAUCCUUCCUCGUCACUGGGUGUUGGGGGUUUGUGACUCCUGCUAUGACUCCCUUCUGUCCUCAGCCUCCAUUCUCCCCACUUCCUGCCUCCCAUUUUUAAGCUGCAUCAAGUGGCUUGGACUUCCACAAAGGUUUUUUUUUUUUUUUUUUCCAGCCUGAAUUUGAGUUUGCUCAUUCAUAGCACUUGGAACAUGAACCUUGUCUGCUGUUACCCCACUGGGGAAUAAUAUCACGUCCCACCCCGGCCAGGGACAACAUCUUAGUCAUCUCUGCAGGCAACAUCAGCACGUGGCCCAGUGCCAAGCACACUGUGAAGCUCAAGGAAGAUAUUUAGAAAUCAGCUAACCGAGAGGCUGACACAGCUAACACACUGACAUGGAUUUAUACCCUCUUGGCUUCUGAAGAUCGUGCAUUUUCCUCCAGUGACACCAACCUGCAUCCAAUGCCAGAAAAAAGCCUGAGAUUCUAGUUAAAUCAAGCUGCGUUCAAACUCCAGCCCUGUCUAUCCUUCGUGGCCUUGGGCAAGUUACAUAAUCUCUCUGAGCCAUUAGUCUUCCCACUUUUUCAAAGUACAUGAUUCAGCCAUUAAGUCUUAGGAAAACAUAUAUUCACACAAUGACUUGUAGGUAAAAUUUUAAAGCAGCUUCAUCCAUAACAGCAUAAAACUAGAGGGGUGGUGAACAGCAUUUGGAAGAGAAUGUCCACCAACAGGUGAAUGUUCAGGGGUGCUACCAUGUAACACAAGCGAGGGGAAAUGCUCAACACUAAAGAAGAACGUUAUCACUGCACCUGUAACCACAUGCAUGGAUCUCCAAGGCAUGAGGCUGAGUGAGAGAAACCAGACACAUGCAUGAGUCCUUUAUAUAAAUGUAAACCCAUCCACACUGACACAAAGCAGUUCACGGGUUGCCUAAGCCAGGGCUGGAGGGAGGAAUAAACUCUAAGGGGAUUGAGGAAUCCUUGGUAGA
Oryctolagus cuniculus (rabbit) is the source of this 2250-nucleotide long non-coding RNA. NCBI's taxonomy places the organism in Eukaryota, Metazoa, Chordata, Mammalia, Lagomorpha, Leporidae. The record is from Ensembl.